AGGAAUAUUGGUCAAUGGGCGGAAGCCUGAACCAGCCAUGCCGCGUGCAGGAAGACGGCCCUAUGGGUUGUAAACUGCUUUUGUACCGGAAUAAACCCCAUUAUGUAUAAUGGGCUGAAUGUACGGUAAGAAUAAGGAUCGGCUAACUCCGUGCCAGCAGCCGCGGUAAUACGGAGGAUCCAAGCGUUAUCCGGAUUUAUUGGGUUUAAAGGGUGCGUAGGUGGCCUGUUAAGUCAGGGGUGAAAGACGGUAGCUCAACUAUCGCAGUGCCCUUGAUACUGAUGGGCUUGAAUGAACUAGAGGUAGGCGGAAUGUGACAAGUAGCGGUGAAAUGCAUAGAUAUGUCACAGAACACCAAUUGCGAAGGCAGCUUACUAUGGUUUGAUUGACACUGAGGCACGAAAGUGUGGGGAUCAAACA
RNAcentral lists this ribosomal RNA (420 nucleotides) under uncultured bacterium. RNAcentral's name for it is "bacterial SSU rRNA". It matches the Rfam family "Bacterial small subunit ribosomal RNA", at positions 357 to 774 of the family's 1533-position model. The record is from RNAcentral.